CGCGCCCGGGCUGCCCUGGCGGCCGAGACGCGGGGGCGCGCGGGCCGCCGCCAUGCGGUCCUCGCAUCACGUGGCCCGAGACGCGCGGAGCCUCGCGGAACCCGCCUCUCGCCUCCCGCCACCUCCGCGCUCGACCCGGUCUUUUUCGGGUCUCGCAGGAAGACGCCACAGCUGCUCUCGGUUGUUUCACUGCAUAAAAACACGCUCUCUGUGUGGGGCGGGUGACGUGUCAGGACUGCAUGUGGCCGUCGUCCCCACCCGGCCUAGAUCCCCGGGAGGCCUGCGCAGUUGCCGCGUUCCAGGCCCGUGGCCUAGCUGUGCGUGCCUGUGGGUCGGCCGGGGCACCUUCCGCCUACCAGUCAAGGGCCCAGGAGUCCAUGAGGCCCCAGGGAGGGCGAGAGGCGUCCCGGGGAUCCAGGGUCCUGGGGAGGGUUGGUGCAGAAAGAUCGUUGGAACAAACCGCUCCUUUUUAGCCGAGAGACUUAAGAAUGAGGUCACUUCCGAAAGGUCAGGCUGUCUUCCACAGUCACCUGGCCUGGCCCCAGCCCGCCAGGAAACCAGGUCACCAUGAUCAGCUCUCCAUGGCUGGACAGAUGAAGAAAUGGGAGACAGGGAGGCUGAGGAACUGGGGAGCCCGUGUUACUUGCUUAAUGGCCAUGUACUACAGCAAGGUGCUGGAACCUUGGAACCGCGGAAGAGCCUUGUGGGAGCUCUUCCAACCAUUGGCCCAAGAAAGGAGUAUUGAGACACAGCCCUCCCUCUUUCUUUUCCUGUCCCAGCCAUGAGGUAAGUGGUUUUACCACUUUUAUUUGGGGGGUGGGGGGCGUACCAGGGAUUGAACUCGGUCCUUGCACUUGUGAGGCAGGUGGUGGAACCACUGAGCUAAAUCCCCGGGCCAGUUUUGCCACUUUCUGACGCCAUGGUGUGGUCCCUUACGACAGGCCCCAAAGCACUGGGUAUAACAAUCAUAGACCGACACCUCCAAAAGUUUGAGCCUAAAUAAACCUAUUUUAUGACUCAGGUAUUUUUUUUUUUUUACAGUAACAGAAACCUGACUGAUGCAGCAUGCUUCUGUCUUACAGGAUAGGACAUCAGAUUGGAACACAAGUGCUCCACAAUGUGCUGUCUUCCCUAGAGGUGGUCAAUAUGAAGCACAUGAGAAAAGGAUUGGUUAGACACAUACAAAGCUAUAAGCCAAGAAGAGGAAAGGGUUUAAAAGAAAAAGGGACAGUUAAGACCAGACAAAAAGACAAGGAAAAGCAGAAUGAAGGAAGGAAUAAGAAAAGAAGAUAUAGGUGGAAAUAGAGAAGUAACAAUGAUUAAAAUAUAUUGAAGCUUUACCAUUUGCCAGGCAUUAUAAAUGCUUUCCACAAAUUACAGUGUGUAAGCCUCAUAAUGUGAGGAAUCUUCUACUAUUUUUCCCACUCAACAGAAAAGAAAAAUGAUGUUUAGAGAGAUACACAGACGUGUUGAAGGUCAUAGAACUAGUGAGGGGAAAACCAGGGAUUUAAAUCCAUGCCUUUCUUAACUCCUAACAUGUACUUCACCUUAUGCUCAAGGGACAAUGUCGUGUGCUUAGUUCAUAUCAACAGCUUAAAUGCAUAAUAUGUGCUCUUAACCUCUGAGCUGGAGUCACAGGCUUUGUGAGAUUGCCGUCUCUCUGUCCUGGUGGAAGAGCAAGCCAGUAAACAUGGAAUACUGCCACGGUAAUCAGAAUAUGCUUACAAUAGCCGCCUGUAGAGUCCUGUGUGGAAGAAUGCAAAGGGCGGUCUGCACACUGGAGAGCCAAAGAAUCCAGUCAAAGGUGAAAGACCUGAAGCUCACUGCCCAGUCCUGUUGCAGUCUGUAUCAGGAAGCUGAAGGGUCGAUGUUCAGAGGCUGAGGAGUCUGCGUGAGAAGCUUUACUGCCUUCUGCCUGCCAUGAAUUGUUUCUCCUCCAUGAUGCCCUCUGCCAUGCCACCCUGUCUUGGAGCCAGCUAACUUUGGACUAAAACCUCUACAAUCUGAGCUACAAUAAAUUUUUCUUCCUUUAACUUUGGGUGUCAGGAUUUUUGUCUCAGCAAUGAGAAAAAUGCCUAAGACAGUCAUACUGGCCUAGUUUGCAGGGUGAGCAAUGAAUAAGUGAUGAUUAUGAAAUAUUUACCAAAUCCAAAUGUCUAAUUUGGUUUAGCCAUAGGAUGGGCUGAAUUAAAAGGAGAAUUAUUAUCACAAAGGACUACAGGUUUAUACAUGUUUAAUCUUGCCAGCCUCCUACUGAACAUUCCUAAGAAAUGAUAUUUCUUCUUUUAUAUAUAUCAUAAUACUUGUAUGAGCUUUCUCUCCAAAGGUAAAGGUGUAUUAUGCAUUGAUGAAUGUCAUCAGUUAUUAAAAGAUUAACUAAAUACUAGGCACCACAUUAUCUCACAACUUUGUGAAGUAGAAGUAGGUCCUGAUGACCCAAUUUUAUAGAUGAGGAAUCAAAGUUCAGAGAGGCAGAAGUAAGAUUUCAAGCCAGCACUCUCUCCGUGCACAACUAUCACACAUUUACUUUCUGUUAAAAACAAGUCUGACCAUUUAACUUUGCUGGGCACCUCGUUGGGGAAAAGGGAUACAAAGUGGAAAACAAUGACAGCAGAGCAAGAGGCAGAGUACACACUGUUUCGGGGUUCUUAGCUACAUGCUUGUCCUCUACAAAAUUAACAGCAGCAGAUAUGAAGUAAUAAGUAAGGGCUAAUAAACUAUGGGACUGAUAAUGCAUCUGCAGUAAAACUUACACCAGAGAUUUCCAGUGCUGAAUUAACUCAGUCCUUUACAGGACCCUUCAAAGUAUGGACCUUGGAGAACUUGAAUCGAAUCACAUCAGAUACUUUUAAAGAAGUGAUCGCUAAGACUUAUCCUUGGAAAUCCAAUUCAAAGCAUUUGGAGCAAGGUCUAGGAUUCUAUAUAUGAGUCCUAUGCAACAAACGUUUGAUAAACGCUCUUCCAGCUACUAACCUCAGUUCCAUAAUUGAAACUUUUUCAAACUUCAUAAGGUGGUUGCAGAGUUC
RNAcentral lists this long non-coding RNA (3026 nucleotides) under Heterocephalus glaber (naked mole-rat). Its description in RNAcentral is "lncRNA (ENSHGLG00100034435.1)". The record is from RNAcentral. Lineage: Eukaryota; Metazoa; Chordata; Mammalia; Rodentia; Bathyergidae.